RNAcentral lists this long non-coding RNA (423 nucleotides) under Zonotrichia albicollis (white-throated sparrow). Its description in RNAcentral is "lncRNA (ENSZALG00000015578.1)". Lineage: Eukaryota; Metazoa; Chordata; Aves; Passeriformes; Passerellidae. The record is from RNAcentral.
GUGUUAAUCUCAUUCCGUAGCUUCUUCCCCCCAGUAAGCCACCCCACACACUGUUGGAGCAUCUGUCCAGCUGGACGCUUCCUAUUGAAGAUGUGCCAAGCAGAGCUGGGCAGACCUGUGCUUCUAUGCAAUUGCAGGGGCAGAUUCUGCUUGAAGAAAAUUGCAGAUGUGGUUCUGUGUGGUCUGAGAAUCUCAGCUGAUGGCCUCCUGAGGAAGGAAGAGUGUCACAUCUCCAGUCGAGAGCUGAAGUAUUGCAGGACUGCUCUGCAGAGCAAGCACACAAGCAGCUCACCUUCUACUGGGGAAAACAGAACAAGUACCAGAAAUUCCAGAGCAUCAUGUGAACUCUCCUCCACAUUCCACAGAAAAAAUCAAAACAACAAAACAAAACAACCCCUCCCCCCCAACACCCCCAACAACUAG